This 250-nucleotide ribosomal RNA is filed under the name uncultured bacterium. Its description in RNAcentral is "partial 16S ribosomal RNA". It matches the Rfam family "Bacterial small subunit ribosomal RNA", at positions 30 to 288 of the family's 1533-position model. The record is from RNAcentral.
CCUGAACGCUGGCGGCGUGGCUAAGACAUGCAAGUCGAACGGAUGUAGCAAUACAUCAGUGGCGGACGGGUGAGUAAUGUAUCGCUAAUGUGCCCUAGAGCCUGGGAUAGCCAUCCGAAAGGUGGUAAUACCAGAUGAAAUAACUUUGUCGCAUGGCAGAGUUCUCAAAGCAGCAAUGCACUCCUGGAGCAGGCGAUACGUAUCAGCUAGUUGGUGAGGUAACGGCUCACCAAGGCGACGACGCGUAGCC